AGCAUGCUACAGAGUGGAAUCAAUUCAGGUGCACACAGCAUGGAUGCCGCCAGAUCUUAGGACUUGGUCCUUCUGACACAGUGGGGGACCAGGGGUGGUGAGAUUUGGGGGUGAGCAAGAUUCUGAGGAGAGCAGAGCAAUAGAAACCACAACGAAGACAUGGAGUAAUAAAGACCACACCCAAUUGAUAGUCCUCUUCUUAGAUGACCCUGGUUUGUGUCAAGUUGAUAGACUAGCCAGCACAUGUGGGUUCCAAGAGUGGAACCAAUACCAUCAGGACUUCCUUCCUGUGUGGAUCUCUGCAACCUCCAUGGCCAACAGAGACAUGAUCCAAGGGAAGCAAGAAGGCAGUUUGGUUCAACACAACUAAGUAGCUGGUGAUGGUUCUAACUUUGCCCAGAUUCCGCCCCAUAAUCCUCACCUGGGUCCUGCCGAGAAGGGAAUAAAUGCCAGAGGUGACCUAUCCUUGAUGUUCUCUGGAUCAAAGCGGAAGGGGUCAUAGACCUGCAGAGGAGACCAGCCAUGGUGAAUGAGUGGCAUCUACCAGCACAGCCAGAGACAGAGUCUUGAGCGUGCCUGGAAAAGUGAGGACUCUUCCACUGCUCCAGGCAGCUUUCCCUCUGCCACCUCUUGCCUUGAUUCUGCAGACUGGGUUCCAAGGCCCAGAGAUGGAACUCACUCCUGACAGUUGCUGUUGAAGCUGAAGACACAUCGCUGCAAAGUGUCCAAGGUCAUGAGGCUGAUGUUCUGAAACAUGUCCAGUCGAGUGCUACCCCCUGACGCCAGGUGCAGCCACUUGUCCUUGGUAGAAAAAUAGACAGUGACCUAGUUGGAUCUUGGUUCCCCGAGACUCUGUCCAACCCCAACCACAAUGGACACCUUCAAACCAGCCUUCUGGAAUUUUCACCCCAGAUACCUGAUCUCAGAGAUAACCCAAACUGAGUAACUGUGGAAGUUGUUACUAUAGCAGAUGAUGACCCAAGACUGGCUCAGGAGUCCUGAGUUCAAGACCAAGCUCUGAUUCCCAUGCGCUGUCAUUCCAUUUCCCUCUCCUAGUUCUUGUCUGUCCCAUCUUUAGGAAAAGCUAAGUUGUUAAACUGCUAAACUGAGAGGAAACCAUGUGCCACCUUGUGCUCCCUUCCUGCAGGAUAACUUGAACAAAGUAUCUGAUAUAUAUGACCUCGAGGUUUAUCAUUAAUGAGAAAAAGCAACCCAUGUACUUCACAGACUCAUGGAGAUUAAUUUGGCCAGUAUAGAUUAUUGGAUUGGGUCUUAGCAUCAGCCCUAGCCUAUGGUAAACUCUCAAUACAUGGUACCCCUUUUACUGUCACUACCAUAAGUGGGUUUCAAAAUUAUCCGUUUGUUGAAAAUGAUAGACUUUCAUUGUUUCUUGAGAAACUUUGUUAGACAUGCCAAGAACGAACUGUUAUGAUAUCCCUAAACGUGGACUAUUUCUCCAAUGUUAUUGCAGAAAACCUGAGGAUACAGUGAUGAUUCUCCAUGGAUAAAAAUAAGACAAAAUUCUGCUUGUUAUAAAAGCAGAUUCCCUGAGACUCAGUAAAAAUUAUUUAUAAUGAUAUUUAUUAUAGCUUAUUAUUAAAAUUCUGUAAGACUCAGUCAUAUUAUUGUAAUAUCAUAUUAUGUUAGCAUGUGAGAUGUGCCUAUUGUAGCCCACUUGCAUUGCUCCCAUGGAAGGGAAGUCCCUUGGAAAAGGAUAAAAACUGGAAUGAUACACAUGUUGUAUGCAAUGCAGUGAGUAAAAGAUUGGCUUUUAUAUCUAA
Arvicola amphibius (Eurasian water vole) is the source of this 1781-nucleotide long non-coding RNA. RefSeq lists it as uncharacterized. The record is from RefSeq and is a predicted model, not a curated record. NCBI's taxonomy places the organism in Eukaryota, Metazoa, Chordata, Mammalia, Rodentia, Cricetidae. The transcript has 5 exons.